GACGAACGCUGGCGGCGUGCUUAACACAUGCAAGUCGAACGGAAAGGCCCUGCUUUUGUGGGGUGCUCGAGUGGCGAACGGGUGAGUAACACGUGAGUAACCUGCCCUUGACUUUGGGAUAACUUCAGGAAACUGGGGCUAAUACCGGAUAGGAGCUCCUGCUGCAUGGUGGGGGUUGGAAAGUUUCGGCGGUUGGGGAUGGACUCGCGGCUUAUCAGCUUGUUGGUGUGGUAGUGGCUUACCAAGGCUUUGACGGGUAGCCGGCCUGAGAGGGUGACAGGCCCCAUUGGGACUGAGAUGCGACCCAGACUCCUACGGGGGGCAGCAGUGGGGAAUAUUGCACAAUGGGCGGAAGCCGGAUGCAGCAACGCCGCGUGCGGGAUGACGGCCUUCGGGUUGUAAACCGCUUUCGCCUGUGACGAAGCGUGAGUGACGGUAAUGGGUAAAGAAGCACCGGCUAACUACGUG
Molecule: ribosomal RNA, 468 nt
Filed under: uncultured bacterium
Lineage: Bacteria
Description: partial 16S ribosomal RNA
Rfam family: Bacterial small subunit ribosomal RNA
Source: RNAcentral